CAAGGCCUGUGUGAUCUCACUUCCAUCCACCUCCUCAAGGCUUUGAUUCAAACGCACUCAACAUCUAUUUGUCAGAUGCACAGAGCACUUGCCCACAGCAGGGCCUCACUGCUCCUUCUAUCUGGAGUACCUUCCGAUGGUUAGCUCUUUUCAUACUCAGCUAUCAGGUCAAAUGGCAGCUCCUCAGAACGCUUUCCCUGACCUUCCCAAGCCCCCAUCACAUCUGAGUAAGAAACUCCUCUGUCCCUCGUGGUGACUACCACAUUGCUCUGUUGAUUUUCUUUACACUCCUCAUUACACUGUGAAAUUAUCUUGUACACUCGUUUACCAGGUUUUGGCUGUUUCCCCCAAAUGGGGGUAAAUGUCACAAAAGAAGGGUGUUGCCAGUCAUGUUCAUCAUUGCCUAUCUUGCUCCUGGAACAGCAUGUGGGACAUACUGGUUGCCAAAUGUGAAAGGGAGGCAGGAGCAGAUGAUUUGUGUACAGAUGGAUCUGACGACUGGAAAAUGGUUCCUGUGACUCAGAGCCUCUGCUCUGACCUACAGCUCUGUCUGCUUUAUCUAGAACACUCUUCCCCAUAUACCAUGUGACUUCCUAUCCCAUCUUUUAUAUGAUUGCUCAAACAUCCUGUUCUUCAUCUUCAGCUACUUUUGCAAAAAUUCUUUGCUCGCUCUCACCCAGCCUGCUUCGUUUUUCUCCAGAGCACUAUCACCAUCUCCCAAGCUAUAGACUUUAUUGAGUGAUGUGUUUAUUGCCCCCCACCCUCCAGUGUAAGCUCCAUCAGUGACGAGACUUUGUUUCUUCGGUUCCCUGUGUAUCUCCAGCAUCCAGACCAAUGCUCACCACAUCACCCGUGCUCACUACAUAUCUGCCGGGUGAAGUAAAAUCUAGGCAUCAGAAUCACAGGUUCAUGGGGUGGUUGGAUUUCUGGGCUAAGGCAUCCUAAUAAGAAAUGGCAUCAAGCCUGAGAUGUCACUGAAAACGAAAGUUUAAAACAAAAAAACCAAAGCACUGAAGCUAAGUACAUGUCCCAGGGCUACAAAAUUAUACAUCUCUUAGAUUUAAUGGAGCCACAAACCAAGGUACUUAGAAUGAAAAAGAUUCUUUCUUUCUCUCUCUCUCUCUCUUUCUCUGAGACAGAAUCUUGCUCUUGUUACCCAGGCUGGAGUGCAAUGGCACGAUCUCAGCUCACUGCAACCUCUGCCUCCUGGGUUCAAACAAUUCUCCUGCCUCAGCCUCCUGAGUAGCUGGGAUUACAGAUGCGCACCACCAUGGCUGGCUAAUAUUUGUAUUUUUAACAGAGACAGGGUUUCACCAUGUUGGCCAGGUUGGUCUCGAGCUCCUGACCUUGUGAUCUGCCCGCCUUGGCCUCCUAAAGUGCUGGGAUUACAGGCAUGAACCACCGCACCUCGUCAAGAUUUGUAUUUUAGAAAGAAUUUAACUUAUUUUGUAAUUGAUAGUUGGUAUGGAGUGAGUGUUUGUGCUCCCUUGAAAGCGCUGUGUUAAAGCCCUGAUCCCCAGUGUGCUGGUAUUUGGAGGGGAGAUCUUUGGAGACAAUUAGGGUUAGAUUAAGUCAUGAGGGUGGGGCCUUCAUGAUGCCCUCACUAAAAGACUACGAGACAGGAGACCAUGUGAGGAUAACAGCUAGAUGUCUACAAACCGGGAAGAGGGCCCUCACCAGAUGCCACAUUUUUCAGUACCUUGAUUUUGGGCUUUCUGGCCACCAGAACUGUGAGAAAUAAAUUUCUGUUGUGUAUAAACC
This 1761-nucleotide long non-coding RNA is filed under the name Rhinopithecus bieti (black snub-nosed monkey). RNAcentral's name for it is "lncRNA (ENSRBIG00000045395.1)". The record is from RNAcentral. Lineage: Eukaryota; Metazoa; Chordata; Mammalia; Primates; Cercopithecidae.